UCUUAUUUAACUUCUUACUUUUCUCUGCCAUCUCCUAGGUUUUGGCUGACAGAUAACAUAGGGCAGUGAUCAAAGGGUUUACCUUCUCUGUGCCUCAGCUGCCCCAUCUCGAAAGUGGGCAUAAUAGUAUCAUAGGGUUAUUAUGAAAAUAAAAUGACACAGUGCACAGGAUGCAUUUACAACAGUGCCUAGCACAUGGUUUCCUUCGUCAGUCCAGGCAGGACUGUGCGGGUGGAAAAGGGACGGAUGCUGGUCCUGGAAGGGGCGUCGUUAUCUAGAAGCUCCCAACCUAAGUGGGUGACUCAUAGGGAGGGCAAGGAGAGAAGGACACAGCAAGCAACUUACAUGUAAAACAAGACGUGUGGGUUAUUAUGGAAGAAAUUCACAACCAAACUUGGGGUUAGCCCGUAUUGUUUUCCAAGAACUCUAUGUGGACAGUGACAAAAAACAGACCUAAGAACUAGCAGAUCGGGCAAAGCUUUUUCACAUAACAACAAAGAAAAAGCAAUUCCUCAGGAAAAAAUUGUCAAUGGGUCAUUGUGUGUAGACAAAACUACAAGUUCUGCUCCAGACUCUGGGGAAACCAAGCUGCCAUCUUCAAGCUGUGGCCAUUCUGUAAUACAGACUACGCUAAAUCACAUGUUGGCAUCAAGGCAGAAUAUUUUGUUCCUUUAUGGGUCAGCGUGGGAUACAAAAUUAGAGAAACUUUGCAAUGAAAAAUCCCUUGUGUCUCAUUGAACUUUUUCCUUAAUUCAAACCUUUCCUUUCACAGUUUUGAUUAGUGCCUUUGCCCAUGUGGACAAUAUUUUAUGAUCAGGUUUUAAGAGUAAUCCAUCCAUGGCUGAUUGGCUGCCUGGAACUUAAAACAACGACAACAACAAUGUCCAGAUAAACCCAAUAAAAUAGGCUUUUAAAUGUG
This is a long non-coding RNA of Gorilla gorilla gorilla (western lowland gorilla), 919 nucleotides long. RefSeq lists it as uncharacterized. The transcript has 2 exons. The record is from RefSeq and is a predicted model, not a curated record. NCBI's taxonomy places the organism in Eukaryota, Metazoa, Chordata, Mammalia, Primates, Hominidae.